Molecule: long non-coding RNA, 1414 nt
Organism: Manis pentadactyla (Chinese pangolin)
Lineage: Eukaryota; Metazoa; Chordata; Mammalia; Pholidota; Manidae
Exons: 2
Source: RefSeq, a predicted model, not a curated record
UUUGCUGGUAGGAACUGCAUAAAAAGCAUGGGGGAGUGUUCGCUAUGUCAGUGGCUUCAUAACAGGUGUUACAGGUUCUUUUGAUUGAUACAGGAAAGAUGCAGUGUACAGAACCACAACUGGCAUCAUUAUAUGUUGGUUAUAAAUUAUAAAUUGUCAGUCAUCUAAAGUCAUUCUUCAAAACCUCGCUGUCUCAUACACUAGCAAAAAGGGGAGUUAAAUGAGAAUGUAGCAAAAAUCAACAUCCAGCACCUUUCAAGUCUUUGCUAGUGGCACUAUUCUCAAACAAUAAUGGUUCUCACUUCACAGGUCAGAGCACCACUACUGAAAUUCAGCUCUCUAUUAAAACUACAUUCUGUGACUGAAGAAAUAAAAACAGACUAAUCUGUGCUUCCACUGAUUGCACUUCAGACAACCUGAGGAUAAUACCUUAUCACCUGACUUCCAUGCAUGUUCACUCUGAUUGGAGGAUAAAAUAGGUAUUUUAUAUUUAUGGAAGUCAGUGUCUCACUGCUAUAUUUGUUUUCACCUAACUAUUUGUUCUCUCAAUGUCCUGCCUUCUACCUGCAUAGUACCUCAUGCCAGUAUCCAAGAAAAUUUGAGCAAUUUUGAUGCUACUGAAUGCCAUAAAUUACUGGUAUGUUUUCAUCAGGCCCAUCCCAGAAUCACAUUUUAAAGAACGAUUUCUUCUGGCCAUUCCUAACACCAAUUAUUGCAUCAGUCAAGAUCUCAGUGAAAGAGAAAUGGCACAUUUAAACAGGGUACCUGAAGAAAGUCUACCGAGAGAUAAUAUAUAAAAUUUGGGUAGGUUAAAGGAAAUCAGCAAAGGUGGUAAAGCUCCUCAAGAAAAGUAAGAUUACAGGAGUUAUUACUUUUGGGCCUGAUUAUGAGGGAGUAAAUUUAGGAACUUAUUUAAACCUGUAGAUACAGGAGAUGACUAUCUGAUAUAGCUAUGGACUUUUGUAGAAAAUAGAGACAUUAUCAACUUGAGAACCAUUAGGGAGACUAAAUAACCCCCUUUCUUUCCUUCCAUUUACCUGUAUUUUGCUCUGCUUUUUAUAAGUGAAACCCAAACAGGAACCAGACAACAACAAGCCAAAUUCAUACUGCAGAUAAAGGUCAGCCUUCUAGGAAACAGAGCAUGUCAGAAAAAGGAAGAAGGCAGAUAUAGGGGUGCAAGUAAUGAACAUCCAGCACACAAGAUAAUAAUAUCCUGUCCAAUUAGAAAUGUGAUAUUGAAAUUCAGCCCAAGCACCUUGUAGCAAGGCAUUUGUGACAAGUAAACUGUACUGACUUGCACAGUAAGUUACUGGUUUAGGGAGAAGAAGAACGAAUAUCCAUUAAUCAGAUGCCUAUGAUAUUCAGACAGAGUACCAGCUGCUGAUUUACAUAAUUCUCAGAACAAUCAGCAAAG